GAUGAAGAACGUAGCGAAAUGCGAUAAGUAAUGUGAAUUGCAGAAUUCAGUGAAUCAUCGAAUCUUUGAACGCACAUUGCGCCCGCCAGUAUUCUGGCGGGCAUGCCUGUCUGAGCGUCAUUUCAACCCUCAGCCCCCGCUCGCGGGGCGCUGGCGUUGGGGAUCGGCCGUCCUCGCGGCGGCCGGCCCCGAAACACAGUGGCGGUCUCUCGCGGACUCCCCUGCGUAGUAGCACUACCUCGCAGCCGGAUAGCGGUGCGGCCACGCCGUAAAACACCCCACUUCUUCAAGGUUGACCUCGGAUCAGGUAGGAAUACCCGCUGAACUUAAGCAUAUCAAUAAGCGGAGGA
RNAcentral lists this unclassified non-coding RNA (350 nucleotides) under soil metagenome. RNAcentral's name for it is "partial contains 5.8S ribosomal RNA, internal transcribed spacer 2, and large subunit ribosomal RNA". The stretch from base 1 to 120 matches the Rfam family "5.8S ribosomal RNA", at positions 35 to 154 of the family's 154-position model. The record is from RNAcentral.